This is an RNA transcript of Canis lupus familiaris (dog), 2162 nucleotides long. RefSeq lists it as uncharacterized. The record is from RefSeq and is a predicted model, not a curated record. The transcript has 5 exons. Lineage: Eukaryota; Metazoa; Chordata; Mammalia; Carnivora; Canidae.
CCCGCGGUCCCCGCGUCGCGGUCCGCCCCGAGCCCGCCCCGAGCCCGCCGCAGCCCGGCCCCCAGCACCGCCGGCGAAGCCGCUUACCCGAGACAAUAACGUUAGAAGCCUAAGGAAGCCAGUUCGCGGGAGGCUUAAUUUUUGCGCCCGCAAAGUUAGGGAUUUGGGCCGACAUAAAUUCCCAGGACUAAAAUCAUGACAGCGACCAUUACCGAGCUCUUCGCGCUCAGUGUCCCACACACAUCAUCUCCUCUAAUCCGCCCCGCACCACGGUUAGGUACGACGCAGGCUCCUCUCUGAGGGGAACCGGGCACAGAGUCUUAAUAGCGGUGUUAUUUUACGGCUCUGGGUCGCGGAAUUUUCCGAGCAGGGUAUUUUAGGAAGCCACUGUUUAAACAAUAGGUUGAAGAAAGUGAAUGUUGCCGUCGGGGGUCGGAUACCGCCUCCACGGAGGUUCACCCUACUGGGUCGUCCACGGAAUCGGUGAGCGGUGGUGAGCACAGUGCCGAAGCGCGAAGGUUUCGUGACCCACCGGGACCCUUUUAGGCUAUAAGGCAAAUGACAAUGCGGAGACCAACAGUCCUUCGAAGUCUCCAGAUGGGGAAUAAUAGUAGUUUGGACACAUGCACGUGGAAGAUAAGGAACUCCUUUCUGCUUUCAUGACAACACUGAGGACAAAGAUCUAUGUACUAAGGAUGGUGGAACAGGAAAAUGAAAAACGCUUGGGCCCCCAGUGCUACCACAGAGCUGCAGUGAGUAGCCUUGUUCUACCUACCUGCCCCUCCCCAGUCUUCUGUGUGAAUCAGAUCAACCUCUCUCUACACCAUUUGUGAGGUCUUCCUGCUAUUGUAGACAAAUACAUUCCUGACUCACAACUCUGGGACUUUUUUCAACUGUAAUAAUGUAUUACUUUUACAAUAAUAAGAUAAUAAUGGUUUUAAAUAAAAACGAGGUGUGCAAGAGCCCAAGUUCUGGAUCAGGGAGGGGGCUAAGUUAGAAUCCAGAUUUUCUGCAUACUAAUCGUCUGACUUUUGACAACUUAACUAUUUCCAAGUCUCAAUUUCCUUACCAAUUUUCUAUCAAUAACAAAAAUAAUAGUGAUGAUAGCAUCUAGCAUAGCCUACAUGGGUUGUUGUAAGGCACAUAGUGAGCACAUGGUAAAGUAUAGCUAUUAAUAUCACUACUAGGUACCCCAACACACACUGCCCCUCCCAUCCUCUGCUGUUUGUUCCUAAAACAUGAAUGACAUACACCAAAGAGCACUGGAGGUCAAAAGAAUUGGUUUCUGAUCCUCUACCACCAGUUUGUGUGACUUUUGGAAAUAUAUUAUUUGUCUUGGCAUUAAAGUUUGAAUCUGGAAUAUACAUGGGACAAGAUUGUGGAUAGGUCAUUCUUGACUUUAAAAUUUUAUAAUUAUUAAAAAACCAAAGAACUGAUUAUCAAAAAAUCAGAUUAUUGCUUUCUUCCAGGAGCAGGAAGAUAGCUAUGAUCAAGGAGAGGCACAUGAGGUAGAAGUGGGGACUUUGACAAGGGUGGAAAUAUUUAUUUAUCCAGUUGGUGGCUACAUAGUAGUUUGCUUUAUAAUUAUUCAUCAAACUGUACUUAUAUGCCUUAAUGUACUUUUUUGUACAUAUCUUAUAUCUCACAAGUGUUAGAAAAUCAAAGUUUAUGAUUGUGUUUAGAGGUAUACUAUUUGCUCCUGCCCUAUGUUACAAAUAUUUUGUUCUACUUGUAUAUUUAGGAAUAAGAUUUGCAAUAUACUUUCUUAUACAGCUUCCUUAUUGAUAGGAUGGUUCCUUUCAUUGUUGCCUUGCACCUUUGUCUCCUGUAGGAAGAGAGAAGGGAGCAGAUAUCUCCCCAGGAAGGAGGAAGGCAUAAGGUUAAGUUUCUGAAAGCCAGUAGGGGCAGUAUAGCAAGAUGGGAAGGUGCUCAAAGGUCUGAAGACAAGGAAGGACUUCUCAUCCUGAAGGCAAUGUAAUCCACCAGAGGUGCCAUUACCAUCACCUCUUACACAGAGAAGAAGAAAACACCCUGCCCCUUUUGGCUCUCAUCCAGAAAGGCAGGCUUGCUCCUCCCAUCCCAUCCCAUCAGGCCAUAAAAUGAGAGACUGAAAGCACAAGCAGGGGAUGCAGCAGAGGGAGAGGGAGAAGCAGAUUCUCUGC